GCCCCCUCAGCCUUCUCCUGUUAUCUGCUUUAUGCUCCUUUGGAUCUCUCCGCCAGGAGUCUGGGGCGGAUUAACACAAGAUAGGAACUAGAUCCAAUCUAAUCAAGGGGACCUAAUCAACCCAUCCUUCCUCCCCCACUCCUCCUUCUCAGAACAAACCCACGUCCUGCCUCUACACAACUUUUCAUGGGAUUUGGCAUCUGAUAAUUAAUAAUUCUUUCUGACUUUGCAGGAGCAGUGUCAACCUCUGACCUACUUCACAGAAAGAGGUAAAGCUCUGCACUAAGCAACUCAGGAGACCUAAAAGAAGAGGACACCUGAUCAGGGACCAUCAUCUCCACCAGAUGGGCCAUUAAGAUUAGUGAGACAAGUUGUAGAUACUAUCCCCAUUCAGGGUGAGUAUGUGUGGGUGAAGGACCAUCUUGUGUAGACCGAGUUAAAAUUUUACCUGCUGGUAAGGCUUCAAACCUGAUUAUGAGGCAGAACGUUUGAAAAACCUUUAUCGUGCCUUUUACAGAAGUAAAACCAUGAGAAUUCGGAUUCCUCUGAUUAGCAAACAGCUGAUUCACAAAUAAGUGCUGGAGCGACUCAGUCUUCCCAUACAGGUGCAGCAGACAGAAAAACUGAAGCUUCAGGUUGACAGAGAUUUUGUUUCUGCUUUUUCACCCUUACAUUUUGACUCUGCCUCUUAAGAAGAGACUGUUUCUGUAGAUUACAAAUUAACUUUGAUUGAGAACAGCAAGGAAAUCCAUCCAGCCUGAAGCAAGAAGAGCCUUCAGAAAUUGAAUAUUAAGAUUAAAAGGAGCUCUUGCCUCUUUCUGAUGGAAGAACUGAACACUCCCAGACCUCUCAGUGACCUUUUAGGGGAUGCUUUGGGGACUCUAAAAUCUUAGAAGAAGCAAAGGCUCAAGACCAUGAACAUUAUUAACAUGAGAUGCUGAGAAGGUCUUUGAUCGAGUGGAGUGGAAUUAUUUGAUAACAGCCUUCAUACAAUACUGAAAUGGAAUAACUUUUCAAGAGAGAGACACAUGCACGUCCUUGCACAAGAAAAGAGAUUCUUCACCUUCUGCCAUCGUAUUGUCACAGCAGCUCAUGUUUAUUGUGAAUGACAUCUUCAGCUACAACUCAGCAUGAGCUCCAGCAUGCUGGAGCUGAACAUCCUACCAGGAAAAUCAGCGGCGACAUUAAAAUUGUUUCAUGAAUAAUGAAAAAAUAAAUAUCACAUUAACUGCA
RNAcentral lists this long non-coding RNA (1233 nucleotides) under Gallus gallus (chicken). RNAcentral's name for it is "lncRNA (ENSGALG00010019238.1)". Lineage: Eukaryota; Metazoa; Chordata; Aves; Galliformes; Phasianidae. The record is from RNAcentral.